Molecule: ribosomal RNA, 149 nt
Filed under: Salmonella enterica
Lineage: Bacteria; Pseudomonadati; Pseudomonadota; Gammaproteobacteria; Enterobacterales; Enterobacteriaceae
Description: partial 23S ribosomal RNA
Rfam family: Bacterial large subunit ribosomal RNA
Source: RNAcentral
GAGUUCUCCCUGAGACUUAAAGUCGAGUUCUCCCUGAGACUUAAAGUCUCCUGAAGGAACGUUGAAGACGACGACGUUGAUAGGCCGGGUGUGUAAGCGCAGCGAUGCGUUGAGCUAACCGGUACUAAUGAACCGUGAGGCUUAACCUU